CAUCUUCUCCAACCCAUCCUAGUUCAAGUCUCCAAUAUUGCAACCAGUAUAGGUAAGGAGGAAUUCUAGGCUACCCUUAGCUGUAUGGUUAUGAUACACCCCCUGGAUGUCCCCUUGACCAAUGAUGUGAUGGCACUUAUGGGGCGGGCGCAAAGAGCGCCAACCAAGCUGGAGCACAGCAGUGGAAGAGCGCUAUGACUGACGCCCAGGGCGGUGCACGUGGACAGGAGGAGCAUCACAUGACGCCUCACCUGCAACC
Chelonia mydas (Green sea turtle) is the source of this 259-nucleotide long non-coding RNA. RefSeq lists it as uncharacterized. NCBI's taxonomy places the organism in Eukaryota, Metazoa, Chordata, Testudines, Cheloniidae. The transcript has 3 exons. The record is from RefSeq and is a predicted model, not a curated record.